This 92-nucleotide transfer RNA is filed under the name Streptomyces cellostaticus. RNAcentral's name for it is "tRNA-Ser". Lineage: Bacteria; Bacillati; Actinomycetota; Actinomycetes; Kitasatosporales; Streptomycetaceae. The record is from RNAcentral.
CUGUGCCGGGCCGCCGGCUGCACGGUGACCGGCAUCGACGGCCGGCCCGUGCACACCGGUGCGGGCGGGCUGAUCGCGGCUGCCGACGCGGA